CGGGGUGUAGCUCAGUUGGUUAGAGUUCACGUCUGGGGGGCGCGAGGUCGGACGUUCGAGUCGUCUCACCCCGAC
Molecule: transfer RNA, 75 nt
Filed under: Bacteroidia bacterium
Lineage: Bacteria; Pseudomonadati; Bacteroidota; Bacteroidia
Description: tRNA-Pro
Source: RNAcentral